Molecule: ribosomal RNA, 301 nt
Filed under: uncultured bacterium
Lineage: Bacteria
Description: partial 16S ribosomal RNA
Rfam family: Bacterial small subunit ribosomal RNA
Source: RNAcentral
CAGCAGCCGCGGUAACACGAAGGGUGCAAGCGUUACUCGGAAUUACUGGGCGUAAAGCGUGCGUAGGUGGUGGUUUAAGUCCGUUGUGAAAGCCCUGGGCUCAACCUGGGAAUUGCAGUGGAUACUGGAUCACUAGAGUGUGGUAGAGGAUAGUGGAAUUUCCGGUGUAGCAGUGAAAUGCGUAGAGAUCGGGGGGAACAUCAGUGGCGAAGGCGGCCAUCUGGGACAACACUGACGCUGAAGCACGAAAGCGUGGGGAGCAAACAGGAUUAGAUACCCCUGUAGUCCCUGUCUCUUAUAC